AGAGCGAACGCUGGCGGCAGGCUUAACACAUGCAAGUCGAGCGGGCGGUAGCAAUACGUCAGCGGCAGACGGGUGAGUAACGCGUGGGAACAUACCUUUUGGUUCGGAACAACACAGGGAAACUUGUGCUAAUACCGGAUAAGCCCUUACGGGGAAAGAUUUAUCGCCGAAAGAUUGGCCCGCGUCUGAUUAGCUAGUUGGUGAGGUAACGGCUCACCAAGGCGACGAUCAGUAGCUGGUCUGAGAGGAUGAUCAGCCACAUUGGGACUGAGACACGGCCCAAACUCCUACGGGAGGCAGCAGUGGGGAAUAUUGGACAAUGGGCGCAAGCCUGAUCCAGCCAUGCCGCGUGAGUGAUGAAGGCCCUAGGGUUGUAAAGCUUCUUUUGUGCGGGAAGAUAAUGACGGUACCGCAAGAAUAAGCCCCGGCUAACUUCGCGCCAGCAGCCGC
This 450-nucleotide ribosomal RNA is filed under the name uncultured bacterium. Its description in RNAcentral is "SSU rRNA". It matches the Rfam family "Bacterial small subunit ribosomal RNA", at positions 26 to 518 of the family's 1533-position model. The record is from RNAcentral.